This 432-nucleotide ribosomal RNA is filed under the name uncultured bacterium. Its description in RNAcentral is "partial 16S ribosomal RNA". It matches the Rfam family "Bacterial small subunit ribosomal RNA", at positions 29 to 507 of the family's 1533-position model. The record is from RNAcentral.
AACGAACGCUGGCGGCAUGCCUAACACAUGCAAGUCGACCGAACCUUCCGGUCCUGGUGCCGCCGGGGUGCGUAACGCGUGGGAACCUGCCCUUAGUUUGGGAUUAACUCCCGGAAGGGGGUCCUAAUCCCGGUUAAUUUCUCCGACCAAAGGUUUAUCGCCUUUGGAUGGGCCCGCGUUGGAUUAGCUAGUUGGUAGGGUAAAAGCCUACCAAGGCGACGAUCCAUAGCUGGUCUGAGAGGAUGAUCAGCCACACUGGGACUGAGACACGGCCCAGACUCCUACGGGAGGCAGCAGUGGGGAAUAUUGGACAAUGGGCGAAAGCCUGAUCCAGCAAUGCCGCGUGAGUGAUGAAGGCCUUAGGGUUGUAAAGCUCUUUUACCCGGGAUGAUAAUGACAGUACCGGGAGAAUAAGCUCCGGCUAACUCCGUG